CUGGUGAACAUCAUCAUGGUUGUCUUGCCAGUAGGAACUGGUAAUCAGGAUGGCAGUGAGGCAGGCACUUGUUGUCAGAAGAUUGGGCCUGGUUUUUAAAAGCCACAGAAGCAUCUUUAGAUGAUUAGAAUCCAAGGGUCCAACAGCUUUGCAACAACACCGUAAAUAUUCUGUGCUGGAUGGACAGGCACCAAAUGGGGACAUUCCCUACUGUUGUGUGAUGAGAAAGCUGGCACUUCUGAGGACUUCCAAAACAAAUAAAUACUCCAUAUGCCAGAAGGAAAAGCAUGGGAAAUGCCUGUUCCAGUUGGAGAUGUGAAUGUCUUUCCAUGGGAAGCUGAGAUGCAACUGAUAGUCCUGGGUGAGAGCAAGUCAGGAAUAUGGAAGGGAAUGCAACAAUACUGUACCUCUCAGGGAACUCGGAAAGGAAAUUGAAAAGGCAAGUUACAAACUGAAAGAAAAUAUUUAUAAAAAGAUCAUUUGAAAAAAGAACUUGCAUGUGGAAUAAAGACAUUGUUACAACUAAAAAGUAAGAGAAUCUCAUACAAAAUAGGUAUUCCAGCAAAGAAAAGAUAAAGAUGACAAAUACAUGAAAAAAUGCUGAACAUCAUUAUUAAGGAGUUGCAAGUUAAAAAGCAUGGUAAGAUACCACUCUCACCCACUCGAAUGACCAAAACUAAACAGAUAACCAUACCAUUUGUUGGU
Molecule: long non-coding RNA, 705 nt
Organism: Lontra canadensis (Northern American river otter)
Lineage: Eukaryota; Metazoa; Chordata; Mammalia; Carnivora; Mustelidae
Exons: 2
Source: RefSeq, a predicted model, not a curated record